This 255-nucleotide ribosomal RNA is filed under the name uncultured bacterium. RNAcentral describes it as "partial 16S ribosomal RNA". It matches the Rfam family "Bacterial small subunit ribosomal RNA", at positions 524 to 776 of the family's 1533-position model. The record is from RNAcentral.
UACGUAGGGUGCAAGCGUUGUCCGGAAUUAUUGGGCGUAAAGAGCUCGUAGGCGGUUCGUCGCGUCGGCUGUGAAAACCUGAGGCUCAACCUCAGGCCUGCAGUCGAUACGGGCGGACUUGAGUACUGCAGGGGAGACUGGAAUUCCUGGUGUAGCGGUGAAAUGCGCAGAUAUCAGGAGGAACACCGGUGGCGAAGGCGGGUCUCUGGGGCAGUAACUGACGCUGAGGAGCGAAAGCGUGGGGGAGCGAACAGG